This 460-nucleotide ribosomal RNA is filed under the name uncultured bacterium. RNAcentral describes it as "partial 16S ribosomal RNA". It matches the Rfam family "Bacterial small subunit ribosomal RNA", at positions 338 to 795 of the family's 1533-position model. The record is from RNAcentral.
CCUACGGGAGGCAGCAGUGAGGAAUAUUGGUCAAUGGACGCAAGUCUGAACCAGCCAUGCCGCGUGCAGGAAGACGGCUCUAUGAGUUGUAAACUGCUUUUGUACGAGGGUAAACGCAGAUACGCGUAUCUUUCUGAAAGUAUCGUACGAAUAAGGAUCGGCUAACGCCGUGCCAGCAGCCGCGGUAAUACGGAGGAUUCAAGCGUUAUCCGGAUUUAUUGGGUUUAAAGGGUGCGUAGGCGGUCGGAUAAGUUAGAGGUGAAAUCCCGAGGCUCAACUUCGGAAUUGCCUCUGAUACUGUUCGGCUAGAGAGUAGUUGCGGUAGGCGGAAUGUAUGGUGUAGCGGUGAAAUGCUUAGAGAUCAUACAGAACACCGAUUGCGAAGGCAGCUUACCAAGCUACUUCUGACGUUGAGGCACGAAAGCGUGGGGAGCAAACAGGAUUAGAUACCCCUGUAGUC